CUGAAACACCAGUACCAUUACGAUCACCGAAGUUAAGCAACUUCGAAACUGGUCAGUACCGAGAUGGGUGACCGCUUGGAAAUACCAGGUGCUGUAAG
Molecule: non-coding RNA, 98 nt
Organism: Acanthosepion pharaonis
Lineage: Eukaryota; Metazoa; Mollusca; Cephalopoda; Sepiida; Sepiidae
Source: the annotation of a GenBank genome assembly